UUACUUUUAAAAUUAGGGUAUGUUAAAUUCAACACUUGUGAAAUUUUUUGACCUUGACGAAAGUACUAUUCCCUCUUCAUCUUGCCUCUCUCCCAAAUCCUUCCCACUCAUUUCAAGAAACCCUAAAUUGAAACAAAACAAAUCACCCAGCCUUUUCAGUCUUAACAAAACAAUUACUCUCAGUCUCCCAACAAAAUAAAAUCAUCCUAGUUUUACUUUAUGAAGCGUAUGGGUCUUGAUUCUUCGGUCACCACCGAAGACAACCAAAGGAUGAAAAAAGUCAAACAAGAUGAGGAGGAAUAAGAAAGAGGAAGAGCAAGUCAAAGAAACUAGCUUCACAAAUCCAUAUGAGAACUCCCUGUUCGAGGUGUUGAAACACGCGGANNNNN
Molecule: long non-coding RNA, 389 nt
Filed under: Citrus sinensis (sweet orange)
Lineage: Eukaryota; Viridiplantae; Streptophyta; Magnoliopsida; Sapindales; Rutaceae
Description: long non-coding RNA (CSIN_LNC005291)
Source: RNAcentral